ACACGAGAAAAUGUUUCUUGUGUAAAAUCUCCAUGCACAAAUCAACUCAUGCCCCUUCUCUUCUCACGCACAAGUGGAUAGGGAUGAGUUGGUUUUGCAUUUGAAUUCAAAUUUGAUUUGAAUUCAAAUGUGCAACCACUUAUCUUUAUCCUCUCACGCGGAUAAGACACGUUCGAUGUUGUUUUAAAAAGAGGAGAAAGGUGGGACGUGCAUAGAAAUUUUAGGAGAGAAACUUUGGGAUGUGAGGAAAGUUUGUGCACAAGGUGAAGGUCCAAAACCUUCCGAGAGAAAAAGAAAGAAAAGAAAGAAAAUUGAGCGCAGGGUUUCUACCUAGGGUUUCUACCUAGGGUUUGGGAAG
RNAcentral lists this long non-coding RNA (358 nucleotides) under Elaeis guineensis (African oil palm). RNAcentral describes it as "long non-coding RNA (EGUI_LNC079496)". The record is from RNAcentral. Lineage: Eukaryota; Viridiplantae; Streptophyta; Magnoliopsida; Arecales; Arecaceae.